GCCAGGCGUGGUGGCUCACGCCUGUAAUCCAAGCACUUUGGAGGCCAAGGCGGGUGGAUCACCUGAGGUUGGGAGUUCAAGACCAGCCUGACCAACAUGGUGAAACCCCCGUCUUUU
This is an unclassified non-coding RNA of Callithrix jacchus (white-tufted-ear marmoset), 117 nucleotides long. It matches the Rfam family "Metazoan signal recognition particle RNA". From Rfam's summary of the family: The signal recognition particle (SRP) is a universally conserved ribonucleoprotein. It is involved in the co-translational targeting of proteins to membranes. The record is from Ensembl. Lineage: Eukaryota; Metazoa; Chordata; Mammalia; Primates; Cebidae.